UACGGAGGGUGCAAGCGUUGUUCGGAAUCAUUGGGCGUAAAGGGCACGUAGGCGGAUUUGUAAGUCGAUUGUGAAAUCCCUGGGCUUAACCCGGGAAUGGCAGUCGAAACUGCAAGUCUUGAAUGCUCGAGAGGAUGGUGGAAUUCCUGGAGUAGUAGUGAAAUACGUAGAGAUUGGGAAGAACACCAGUGGCGAAGGCGGCUAUCUGGACGGUUUCUGACGCUAAGACGCGAAAGCGUGGGGAGCAAACAGG
This 253-nucleotide ribosomal RNA is filed under the name uncultured bacterium. RNAcentral's name for it is "partial 16S ribosomal RNA". It matches the Rfam family "Bacterial small subunit ribosomal RNA", at positions 524 to 776 of the family's 1533-position model. The record is from RNAcentral.